AUUGUUUCUUGGCUUUCUGGCUAAGAUCAUGUGUAGUAUCUGUUCUUAUCAGUUUAAUAUCUGAUAUGUCCUCUUGAGAAGCAGUGUGGCUUAGUGGAAAAAGCAUUCCCCUGGGAACCAGAGGACCUGGGUUCUAAUCCCAGCUGUGCCACUUUUC
Molecule: small nuclear RNA, 157 nt
Filed under: Ornithorhynchus anatinus (platypus)
Lineage: Eukaryota; Metazoa; Chordata; Mammalia; Monotremata; Ornithorhynchidae
Description: U2 spliceosomal RNA (ENSOANG00000041890.1)
Rfam family: U2 spliceosomal RNA
About the family: U2 is a small nuclear RNA (snRNA) component of the spliceosome (involved in pre-mRNA splicing). Complementary binding between U2 snRNA (in an area lying towards the 5' end but 3' to hairpin I) and the branchpoint sequence (BPS) of the intron results the bulging out of an unpaired adenosine, on the BPS, which initiates a nucleophilic attack at the intronic 5' splice site, thus starting the first of two transesterification reactions that mediate splicing.
Source: RNAcentral